This 191-nucleotide ribosomal RNA is filed under the name uncultured bacterium. Its description in RNAcentral is "partial 16S ribosomal RNA". It matches the Rfam family "Bacterial small subunit ribosomal RNA", at positions 307 to 526 of the family's 1533-position model. The record is from RNAcentral.
GCCUCCCUCCGCGCCAUCAGACUCCUACGGGAGGCAGCAGUGGGAAUUUUGCGCAAUGGGGAAACCCUGACGCAGCAACGCCGCGUGGAGGAUGAAGUCCCUUGGACGUAAACNCCUUUCGACUGGGAAGAUAAUGACGGUACCAGUCGGAAGAAGCCCGGCUAACUUCGUGCCAGCAGCCGCGGUAAUAC